Drosophila takahashii is the source of this 274-nucleotide long non-coding RNA. RefSeq lists it as uncharacterized. Lineage: Eukaryota; Metazoa; Arthropoda; Insecta; Diptera; Drosophilidae. The record is from RefSeq and is a predicted model, not a curated record.
GGCUGAAGCACCCCAGUGAGAACAUGUUCGCGGAGUUGCCAACUCUAUUCAUUUUUAUCCUAUUCCCCUUUGCUCACGGCUCGUCCAGCUGUUAAUCGCUGAGUAGCUCUUACUCACCACGCUUGCAGAGCUUACAUACAUACACACAAGUGGGGUGAGAUUGCCGAUUCUAUUUUGUGGUUCAGUUGUGAAUAGAAAAGCGAAGGGCUAGGAAAUUUUAAGCGUCACAGCGUCACCACGAAGAGGGACAGCUGAAAUAAAUACUAGACUUGCA